AGCGAACGCUGGCGGCAGGCUUAACACAUGCAAGUCGAGCGGGCACUUCGGUGUCAGCGGCAGACGGGUGAGUAACACGUGGGAACGUGCCCUUCGGUUCGGAAUAACUCAGGGAAACUUGAGCUAAUACCGGAUACGCCCUUUUGGGGAAAGGUUUACUGCCGAAGGAUCGGCCCGCGUCUGAUUAGUUAGUUGGUGGGGUAAUGGCCUACCAAGGCGACGAUCAGUAGCUGGUCUGAGAGGAUGAUCAGCCACACUGGGACUGAGACACGGCCCAGACUCCUACGGGAGGCAGCAGUGGGGAAUAUUGGACAAUGGGCGCAAGCCUGAUCCAGCCAUGCCGCGUGAGUGAUGAAGGCCCUAGGGUUGUAAAGCUCUUUUGUGCGGGAAGAUAAUGACGGUACCGCAA
Molecule: ribosomal RNA, 409 nt
Filed under: uncultured bacterium
Lineage: Bacteria
Description: bacterial SSU rRNA
Rfam family: Bacterial small subunit ribosomal RNA
Source: RNAcentral